GGGGAAGUCCGGUCGAAGUCCGGCGCUGACCCGCAACGGUAGGCGGGACCCGCACAGGGUUCCGUGAGCCCGAUUACCC
RNAcentral lists this non-coding RNA (79 nucleotides) under Streptomyces pactum. Lineage: Bacteria; Bacillati; Actinomycetota; Actinomycetes; Kitasatosporales; Streptomycetaceae. The record is from RNAcentral.